This 406-nucleotide ribosomal RNA is filed under the name uncultured bacterium. RNAcentral describes it as "partial 16S ribosomal RNA". It matches the Rfam family "Bacterial small subunit ribosomal RNA", at positions 29 to 526 of the family's 1533-position model. The record is from RNAcentral.
AUUGAACGCUGGCGGCAGGCCUAACACAUGCAAGUCGAACGCGGCGCGGACGUGUGUGUAAUGUAGGGGAAACCGCCUGAGGGCGGGGGAUAACUAGUGAACACUGGCGCUAACACCGCAAACCAUGACAUGUGCCCAUAGGGUAUGAUCGAGUAGGUGGGGUAAAGGCUCACAUAGGCGACGAUCCCUAGCUGCUCUGAGAGGUGGACCAGCCACACUGGAACUGAGCCACGGUCCAGACUCCUACGGGAGGCAGCAGUGGGGAAUAUUGCACAAUGGGCGCAAGCCUGAUGCAGCCAUGCCGCGUGUAUGAAGAAGGCCUUCGGGUUGUAAAGUCCUUUCAGCGGGGAGGCGUUACCAGCAGAAGAAGCACCGGCGAACUCCGUGCCAGCCGCCGCGGUAAUAC